UAGCAUCAUUGGUAAAGAUGGCGGCUGAUCUGAAGGUGGUGCUUGCUGCAUUGCUGAGAGACAUUUCAGAAAGGAGUUCCUGUGAAAACUUAGCUGAAGCGAAAGCAAUUUUGAGUGCAACGCGCGCAGAAAAUAUUUAUAACGUAUCGAAAGACCUUGAUCUAAGCCCUUUGUUCAGCUGUUCUAGCACGUUUAACGGGAAUACUUUAGAUGAACUCAGUGAGCUGCUUGGAAAGCUUCUUGAUGGGUUUCCACCAUCUGCAUUACUUUCCGCUCACAAGCAGCAUUUUGUGACUGCAUUGAGCACUUCUGAUGGGGCACUGAAAGCAGUCGUCUUACGCCAGCUGAUUCGAUGCUCCAAGGACAAUGCUACAUUGUCUCAGCUUGCUCGUGAUCACCGCAUCCUUGAAUCUGUUUUGAGGCUCCUUGGUAGCGAGGACCUCUGGUCAUCCAAGCAGAGUGCUAUUCUGCUGAAACAGAUGACACGGGAAAAGGAAGUACUAAGUGCCAUGCUGCAUCCCCCUGUGGCACACGUUCUGGACAGCGUUAUGGAUGGUGGUGAUGUGUGCCGUUUUAGAGUGUUUGAGGUCUUUGUGGAUGUGGCAAAGGCUUCUCCUGAAAACCUUGAGCGGCUUUCAGAAAGCGGCCAUCUGGAGAGACUGGUGAAAGAAAUGGACAAGAAUGAUGUCUUAGUUCAGCUGAAUGCAUUAGAAGUGCUGACUGAGCUUGUGUCUUGUAGCCAUGGUUUGGAUUAUCUUGAGCGUACUGGCAUCAUAUCCAAGCUCCGUCAGAAAGCUCUCAACAUUGGUUCUGACCCACUCGGUAACUUUCUGGGCCCAGGAGUGCUCAAGUUUUUUGGCAGCAUGGGUGUGACCAGCCCCCAGCGAUUGCUGCUUGACUACCCUCAGGUGCUGGGCUUUAUCUUCGAAAGUGUGCAAAGUGAUGACCCAGCAUGCCAGGUAGUUGCUGCAGAAACAGUGGGUAUCAUCAGCUCCACCAUUCAAGGAAAACGUGUCCUUCAAUCACAUGGGGAUCAGAUGAGCCGCUACCUAAAAACAUUAAGCCAGAACAUCCAUAGUGGAAAGGUCGACUUCAAGGUUCGAUAUCUCGGUGCCCUGGCCAAUGUUCUGCACAUUCAAGACAGCAGCUGCGAGGACUUGGUGCACUUGACAGAGCGGUGGUACAGCCUGCUAGGUGACCGACCCACUGACAUGUUGCUCCGCCUGUGCCGGCAGCCAUUCCCUGAGCUGCGUUGUGCCACCCUGACUGUGGUUGCUGAAGUGGCACGAGUACCCUGGGGUCAGGCUGCACUGGCAGCACAGCCAGGGUUCCUUGAGUACCUUCUUGACCGCUCCACUGAGGCUGACAAACAGUGCAAGGAGGCCAAGUUUGCUGUCGUGGCUAUCUUGGCUCAGAUGCAACCUCGUGGUUUUGCUGAUGAUGACUGGCAACGCAUCAGGACUGCCUACCAAGAGGGUCCCUUCUAUAUGGCCUCGGAAGCGGCUGUAACCUUUGAGGGGCUCUCCUGAGGCUCUCGUCUGUCAAGCAUCAUCCUCCCAGCGGAGUAGCUCCAUCCCGAUGCAGGUUAUGGAGCAUCAAUUAAGUGCUCAAGUACAAGGACACACAGAUUCAAACAUAAUACAGCACUGCGUCAUGUUUCCUUCAUUACAUCAGUGUUCUUGAGGGCUGCAUGAAUGAUUUAUCGCCAACUAGCCCAUACGACACCUGCACUUGAAAUAACAGGAAGCUCAAGGAGCAGUGUGAUCUUAGAACAUUGGUGGCCUAGACCUGCUUUCUGCAGCUCCUUCCCACAGCUAAUGGAACACAGAACAAUGCGGAAAGUUGUAUAAAAAAUGUUUUAUUGUAGAAUGUCACCAACGUAAAACAAAUAAAGGGAUCACUUUCUGUCAGAAAAAAUAUGGCAGCAUGAUUCACUCAA
Molecule: RNA transcript, 1939 nt
Organism: Dermacentor andersoni
Lineage: Eukaryota; Metazoa; Arthropoda; Arachnida; Ixodida; Ixodidae
Gene name: 26S proteasome non-ATPase regulatory subunit 5
Source: RefSeq, a predicted model, not a curated record